This is a non-coding RNA of Bactrocera oleae (olive fruit fly), 567 nucleotides long. The record is from RefSeq and is a predicted model, not a curated record. Lineage: Eukaryota; Metazoa; Arthropoda; Insecta; Diptera; Tephritidae.
UGUUAAUUAAAAGCUCUGUUCAGAUGCCUUCACAAUAGUCACCACCCUCACACCCAAAACAGUUGUGACAAAAAGGCAUCUAUGUUUAAAUAAUUCGGUCAAGAUUUAAUUUGAAAAUAUGUAGCUAACUUGAAGGGUACCAAUGGGCACAUAAUCCAUAGCAACUUAUUCUGUGCGCCAAUCGGAAGCUUUUUUCUCCGUGUUGAAUAAGGAUGAAAAAAUUCACUACAAUGUAAAUAAAUUUUACAUUUUGCUGUGGCAAAUGGAAUGUAAUUGAUAUUUCAAAAAAAGGGGCAAACGAAUAUCCUGUUGAUUAAAUUAUUAGAUAUGUACUAUCAUAAAAUGAAUUCGAAAUAAUGCUUUGCUUUGCUAGUUAUAUUACUGAAACUAGAAAAAUGCAUUAAUUUAAAGAUUUGUUAAUAAUUCAAAAUUUUAAACAAAGUGCUAGCGCACUACUACUCUACUUGUAUGCGAUAAACAUAUCUUCAUAUUCAUUUUUUAACAAAGUUUUUGAGUUACUGUUUAUAUUUAAUCGAGCAUUACAUCCUUUAAGCAUGUUAACAAAUU